AAGUGAUGCUUACUUGUAUAUUCCAAUUCUGCCCAGUCACAAUACCUGACUAGCAAGUGUGUCAAUUUUUUUUUGCUUACAGGGCUGAUGUCAAAGAAGAAAUUUUGUGCUGAUAAUUGAGGUUAGUAUUCUGCUGUUCCCUCUGAAUUGAGCUGAUCUUCCAAUUGCAGUCAAGAGAUGAAUCAAGGAACAUGAUCUGCCCAUGCUACUUAUGAAUUUAGAUUGAUUACGGUUCAUUUCUUUGUCAUGCAAAUGUCUCAUCACAUGUCAUUUUUGUUGGUCGAAAUGCAGUCUCCUUAUUACACCUGUUACAGACUGUCAGGUUCUAGUGUCAACUAAAAAUUUAUUUGUGAAAUGGCUGCAUGUAUUCAUGUGGGGUGGCUAUUUACAUUCAAGUAUGGCUAUUUACUUGUAUGUUUGUUCGUGUGAAAUGAAAAGACUAUUACUUGUAUGGCUAUUAUUUGAUA
Long non-coding RNA from Panicum virgatum (switchgrass), 467 nucleotides. RefSeq lists it as uncharacterized. The transcript is spliced from 2 exons. The record is from RefSeq and is a predicted model, not a curated record. NCBI's taxonomy places the organism in Eukaryota, Viridiplantae, Streptophyta, Magnoliopsida, Poales, Poaceae.